Molecule: non-coding RNA, 275 nt
Filed under: Felis catus (domestic cat)
Lineage: Eukaryota; Metazoa; Chordata; Mammalia; Carnivora; Felidae
Description: bip internal ribosome entry site (IRES)
Rfam family: bip internal ribosome entry site (IRES)
About the family: This family represents the bip internal ribosome entry site (IRES). BiP protein expression has been found to be significantly enhanced by the heat shock response due to IRES-dependent translation.
Source: Rfam by way of RNAcentral
CGCUGGCCGAGACAUCACAGAUUCAACGGCUUGGGAGGUUUCGUGAAUCUGAGAGGUAAGCGCCGCGGCCUGCCUUUCCGGACCUGCCCUUCGCGUUUCCAGCUGCCCCUGCUCACCCCGGGCCCUGUACCCUCAGAUCAGUAACCUCGGUGCGCCCCCGUGCAGCGGCCUGUCGUUGGAUUGCCUCUGAGGUCCUGCCUGCCCGCCUGCUGACCGACUGACUGGCCUACGGCGCCGGCAAGAUGAAGCUGUCCCUGGUGGCUGCGGUGCUGCUG